GAUGAACGCUGGCGGCGUGCCUAAUACAUGCGAGUCGAGCGAACAGACGAGGAGCUUGCUCCUCUGACGUUAGCGGCGGACGGGUGAGUAACACGUGGAUAACCUACCUAUAAGACUGGGAUAACUUCGGGAAACCGGAGCUAAUACCGGAUAAUAUAUUGAACCGCAUGGUUCAAUAGUGAAAGACGGUUUUGCUGUCACUUAUAGAUGGAUCCGCGCCGCAUUAGCUAGUUGGUAAGGUAACGGCUCACCAAGGCGACGAUGCGUAGCCGACCUGAGAGGGUGAUCGGCCACACUGGAACUGAGACACGGUCCAGACUCCUACGGGAGGCAGCAGUAGGGAAUCUUCCGCAAUGGGCGAAAGCCUGACGGAGCAACGCCGCGUGAGUGAUGAAGGUCUUCGGAUCGUAAAACUCUGUUAUUAGGGAAGAACAAAUGUGUAAGUAACUAUGCACGUCUUGACGGUACCUAAUCAGAAAGCCACGGCUAACUACGUG
RNAcentral lists this ribosomal RNA (497 nucleotides) under uncultured bacterium. Its description in RNAcentral is "partial 16S ribosomal RNA". It matches the Rfam family "Bacterial small subunit ribosomal RNA", at positions 28 to 507 of the family's 1533-position model. The record is from RNAcentral.